AAACAAGUAGGUUUUGUCCUGGCCUUUCUAUUAACUCUUAGUAAGAUUACACAUGCAAGCAUCCCCGCCCCAGUGGAAAUGCCCUCUAGAUACCCCAGAUUAAAAGGAGCAGAUACCAAGCACACACAAAGGCAACUCAAAACAGUUUGCUCAAUCACACCCCCAUGGGAAAGAGCAGUGAUAAAUCUUUAGUAAUAAACAAAAGGUUAACUAUGGUCUACUGAUGUCGAGGGUUGGUCAAUUUCGUGCCAGCCACCGCAGCCAUACUCAGCCCUAGCUAACCUAAUAGCACUUGGCAUAAGGAGUGUUUAAGGUCCCUAAAUAAAGCUAAACUCUAAGUCAUUAGGAAAACAAACAAACAAACAAACAAAAAAACUCCAGAUGAAAGAAAAUAUACUAUGAAAGUGGCUUUAAUAGCCUAAAGACACAAUAGCUAAGACCCAAACUGGGAUUAGAUACUCCACUCUGCUUAGCCCUAAGCUCUAACAGUUACAUUAACAAAACGAUUCCCCAGAAUACUACAAGAAAUAGCUUAAAACUCGAAGGACUUGGAGGUGCUUUAUAUCUCUCUAAAGGAACCUGUUUUAUAAUCAAUAAACCCCGAUAUACCUCACCACCUCUUGCCCCCAGCCUAUAUACCACCAUCUUCAGCAAACCCUAAAAAGGUUAUGGAGUAAGCACACGUAUUUUCAUAAAAAUGUUAUGUCAAGGUGUAGUUCAUGAGGUGACAAGAAAUGGGCUACAUUUUCUGUAUCCAGAAAAACUUACAACAACCUUUAGGAAAUUUAAAGGUUCAAGGAGGAUUUAGUAGGAAACCAAGAGCAGAGUGCUUAGUUGAAUAAGGCCAUGAAGCGUGGACAGACUGCUCACCAUCAUCCUCAAAUAUUGCUCUAGAAACUAUUAUCACUAAAAACUCUCUGUGCACAUAUAGAGGAGCUAAGUCAGAACAUGGUAAGGAUACUGGAAGCUGCACUUGGACAAAACAAAGU
Molecule: non-coding RNA, 989 nt
Filed under: Chlorocebus sabaeus (green monkey)
Lineage: Eukaryota; Metazoa; Chordata; Mammalia; Primates; Cercopithecidae
Source: Rfam by way of RNAcentral